UAAACCCGUGAGUUGAAAUAUGAAUGCUAGCUUAAGGGAUGUCAAACAAUCAAACCUUGACAAACAUAAAGGAGGGCGAAAGACCCAAAAUCAAUCGGACACAGACAAUAAAUGCCAACAUAAUUUCGGUAUACCAAUGAUUAAGUUAUGCCAACAUGAACAAGCUCCAUAAAUACCUUCUCCAAGAGUCAUGAAAACGUUGGAAUGGGAUCGUCAAGGUCUCAUUCACUUUGCAUGUUCAUGCGUGUAGCCUACAUUUGGAGAUCCAUUGCUUUUACGAGCUGAAAUAUCUAUUCAUCCUUGGAAUCCGUACAAAUUGAUUGUUCAAAGGAAAGGAACUCCAACUUCGUCAUUCACAAACCAAAGGGAGAAUAAUGAUAGAUAAACUUUGGAUUACCUCCUUUAGUUUUCAGGACCAAUCGGAAAACGAUCAUGAGGGCAAAGAAGUGUCAGACACCCAUAGAAUUUACGGCCACCAAACAACGUUUGCUUUAAAUAAUAGAAUAAAUUCACUGAUAAAACACCAGCACAACUAGGUGUAUAAAUAUGAAAACGCUCCCUUGGCCAGGCAUGAGAAAAAAUGCCAGUAUUAUUUAAGCCAUUGUGUGCAACCUUACAACGUAAUUACCCCUUUUAUUAUUUGCUUACACCAGUAACUUUCACCAUAUUAGUGUAUAUGUGUAGCUAAUCAAAAUUGAAACCCCCUUUGCCUCCACAUUUCUGAUUGGAAAUUUCCCGAAAUACUCACUCAUUUUUUUUGUAUUCUGACAUCCCCGUAUUACAAUGAAAAGCUACCAGGGUUCCAUUCAUUUUCAUACACUGUUUUAGCUGUCUUCCGAUCAGUUCAGGUCUGUGACGUUUCGAUAGAUUUAGAGCAGAAGGAAUGCAAGUGCAUUAAUUAUGGAUCACACAGGCUAAAACCUCAUUGGCGGCUCGCUUCCCGACAUGAACCACUCAAAGUGGUCGAAACGUGGCCGUCGUUCUCAACUUCUCGUCCAUGGUUGGAACAUAGAGCGAGCAGGAGCGAGAAAGAGAAAGAGAGGGUUUGGUUGGCUCAAUGAGCGAAAAAAAAGUUUCUCCAGCUUUCUUGGAUAAAAACACGACGACUAAAGAAAUACGCAUUUUUGGCAAGGCUCUUGAAAUAGAAUCCGAGAUUUUUAAUAUCUCCUAUGAAUUUGCACUCGGACAAGAAAUAAUUUAUGGACAAGUCUACGAUGGCAAUGAAAUUCGAAUGAAAGAAAACUGGUGAAUCGUCGGGAGUGACAAAUUCGACCUGGAAUUGAUAUGAGGGCUCAUACCUUGAUGUGUCUACUUUGCCUUUAUCUUUCGAAAGCACAGGAAUCUCGAUUGACCCGUGAGCAAAUACCGUUCUGGGAAGAUUUCGAUGAAAUGUACGUGGAACGAGUUAAAAGUGAACCAGAAGAUCAAGGAUUUGACGAUUAUGAAAGCGAUAUCCAAGACGACACGUCAACUUUUGAGCGAACCGAUCAAGGCCAACCACCAACGAAUUUUGAUUCAGGUGAAAAAGGGAAAGAAACCACAGGAACCAUUCUCGAUCUGGUUGAAUCGGAGGAGUCGACCCAUAACGUAUAAGGAUGCAAAGGAAGAUAACUUGGGCGAAAUAAGAUCGUUAUAUUUCACAAAAGAAUAAAAUGAUGUCUAAUAUCA
Long non-coding RNA from Tigriopus californicus, 1668 nucleotides. RefSeq lists it as uncharacterized. NCBI's taxonomy places the organism in Eukaryota, Metazoa, Arthropoda, Copepoda, Harpacticoida, Harpacticidae. The record is from RefSeq and is a predicted model, not a curated record. The transcript has 2 exons.